RNAcentral lists this ribosomal RNA (253 nucleotides) under uncultured bacterium. Its description in RNAcentral is "partial 16S ribosomal RNA". It matches the Rfam family "Bacterial small subunit ribosomal RNA", at positions 524 to 776 of the family's 1533-position model. The record is from RNAcentral.
UACGUAGGGGGCAAGCGUUGUCCGGAAUCAUUGGGCGUAAAGAGCGCGUAGGCGGUCCUGUAAGUCCGCUCUGAAAGUCCGGGGCUCAACCCCGGGAGGCGGGCGGAUACUGUCGGGCUAGAGUCCGGAAGAGGCGAGUGGAAUUCCGGGUGUAGCGGUGGAAUGCGUAGAGAUCCGGAAGAACACCGGUGGCGAAGGCGGUCUGCUGGGCAGUAGCUGACACUGAGGCGCGACAGCGUGGGGAGCAAACAGG